This is an RNA transcript of Etheostoma cragini (Arkansas darter), 7176 nucleotides long. It is a transcript of the gene named rotatin, with no coding region annotated. The transcript is spliced from 48 exons. The record is from RefSeq and is a predicted model, not a curated record. NCBI's taxonomy places the organism in Eukaryota, Metazoa, Chordata, Actinopteri, Perciformes, Percidae.
GUGGACUGACGCUGGCGCGUUUGUUGAAAACAGAGGGCAGACGUUGUUGACAUGACACUGGCAGACAACAACUAAUUGAACUGACGACCCUCGGUUGUUGAUAAAGCCUUUUACCGGAUUUUUACACUGGGAGACGCAAUACAUUGAACAUGGAGUUAUCUCCCCUUAUAAAGAAAAUAGGCCACUCGUUGAUGGAGAUAAGAGUUCGAGCACUGAAGAGCAUCAUAUGUAAGCUGGACCAUUCCCUGAUUUCCGUCUCCGACAUUGUCCAAGAAAAGAUGCUGUUUGUGUAUCUUCUUGAAUGGUUCAAUUUCCCCGAGGUGCCAAUGCAGGAAGAGGUCCUCGAGUUGCUCUCAACUUUAUCAAAGCAUCCAAGUGCAGCCCAGAUGCUAAGAGAUGUUGGGGCGGUGGACUUCCUCAGUCAACUGUCUACUAAUGUGGAACCCAGACUGCGAGCUGUCAUCGAUGGGACCCUGGACCAGCUGUUCCAUCUACCUGAGCUACUCCCUAGUCAUAUGGUUUACUCGCAUGGACAGCGUACAGCAACUCCAACAGCACCUACAGUUGUUCCACUGGAAGAGCAUUUUUCUCAAAUGGGUUAUUUCCACAAGAGCAUGCCAAGCCAAACAGAUGUGCCACCUCAGAAGAUAGCAGUGCAUGAGUCUGUGAGAUGUCUCAAGUUUUCUGCGUUUCCAUGGCUGUCUUUGACAAACACAGACAGACACAUACUUUCAUCCAAUGAGAGUUCUCUAAGGAGCAGCAACCCCAACUUGGUGCGGAGCACGUGUGAACUUCUGUGUGAUGUCAUUAUGCAAGACUUUCCUGCUGAGAUCUUCCUGCAAAGGCCUAGUAUUGUAAAGAACCUUCUGUCCCUGUUGAGGCUGGGUUUGGGUAAAGGUGAGGCAAGCUACCUCCACUUGCAGGCUCUUUCAUGCCUGCGGCAGCUUUGUGUGGGGCUGAGAAGGAGACUACGAUUUCAUCAAGAUCCAAGCUUCUACUCUACAAAGCAAGAUCCAGUGUCCCAGAACUCGUCCUUUUCCUACUCCCGGGAAGUGCGGGGGACCCACCGUUCCCAGGCCUCAUCUCCGGGGACAGAGUGCUCUCCUCGGCCCUCUGUGGUGGGACGCACAGGCCAGAGAGCUAGGGGAGAUGGCCAAGACGGGGAUGCAGCUUCCACCAGUGGCAGCUCACACAGAGGGGGAGCAGCCAUCCAGGCUCCUGGGCAGACGCCCCAGUCUCCUGCAGAUGUGGCCAACCUGGAGCUUCCUGACUUGGGUGUAGAAGAUGUCUUGGAACUGCAGUUUCAGCAGCUCACUUUGGCUCAGUUCACUGUUGCCAUCAUGGAACAUGCCAUACCACUGCUUAAAACAGAGGGUUUGCAUGUGUUCCAUUGUGUUCUGGAGCUGCUGUGCGACGCUGUCCUCCUGCUUGGGAAGAGUGUUUGUGAGCUGGUCUGGGACGAUCGCAGCCUGGUGGGGAUGGAGCUGAAGGCAAAGCUGCAAGUCUGCAUGGAACUACUGGGGCACAUCCUGAGCUAUCAUCAGAGCUAUUCAGCAGAUACUCCCCACAGCUCUCAGGUUCAUCACAGAAUGGCCUACACCGGCACUGCUAUAUUCACCAUUAAACUCCUGCAGACCAUCCUCCCUCCUGAGAAGGCUAGUGAUAAUCUCCCGGAGAACACAGCAACAGCUAUUUUCCACCUGUGCUUGGACAUGACAUUGGGAAGUUCAUUACCCAGCAUUCAAGAGACAGCGGUGGCCUACUUGGAGCAGGUGAACUCAGACAACCAUGAUCUUUACAGGAGGGUGACCCGCGCUGCCCUCUGGAUGGAAUCUACUUGCAACUUCCUCAAGGAAAGCCAAGCUGAGGGAGAGAAGAACUGGUUGGAGUUGCUUGAGCUGGCAGACCAAGCCAUAGACGGCAUACCGUUUCACCAGCACUUACCCAUCAUCAAGGAAUAUGUUCACAUCUGCUCUUACCUGUGGAAGUUUGAUCAGCCCAGUCCCCUCCUCCAGACAGAGAGCCAGAAACUUCUCCUCAAGCUGCUGUCUCAUCCUUCAUCGCAUGUCAAGACGGAAACAUACGAAUGCACUUUAAACCUGGUCAAGGACUGCCUUGGCAUCCAGAAUGUGUCACGACAGGAACCAGCAACAUGCGGUGCAGUCAACUUCCUUAUCCACCACAGGGUGCUCUAUGAAAUAAGUGCUUUUGGACUUCAGGAUUCUGCUGAGAAGGUGAACGUUGCAGCCAAGGAUAUCCUGCUAUUCCUGCUCAAAGGACGAUUGAUGAUGACAGCAGCAACCUGGGACAGAUUCAAUGAGGCACUUUACCCCGUCAUGCCCAUAUUACAGGGUUACGCCAGCACUGAAGAGUCACUGGGAAACUGUGUCCUGCUGAUAAGUGACAUGUCGGACGUGGCAAGAGACAGCGUGUUUCCAAGCACAGCCCAGCUCAAAGCAGCGCUCCGACUCCUUUUUACUAAACAGCCCACUGUGAGAAUAGCAGCAGUGCAACAAAUCCUGCCCCACUUAACCAGCGAUGAUGUUGCUGACACAUCCAGACCAGACCUGGCUCAACCACUGAUUUCCUCCAUCCCCAGUCUCUUUUGCCUCAGAAACCCUUUGGACAUCACGCUGGACACCAGAAACAAGUCUGUCCUUAAGGUGGAGUCGGUGGAGAAGCUGUUUUGUAUUCUGUCCUCAGACACUGUUGACAUCUCACUAAGAAGAUCGGCUGCAGAGCAGCUGUCUGUAGUGCUACAAGACACAACAAUGCACCCAGUGCUGAAGGUUCUUGGAAUAACAGACAAAGUCAUUUCUUUCAUUAUGGGGAGUGUAAACGGCAACAAGAGCUUAGAUUGCCUGCUGGAGCCUUGUGUAUGUAUCCUGAGGAAGCUGGUGUAUGCUGAUCCAUCUCUGAGGCACAGUCUGGCACAUCGCAACCUCCUGCUCCUCACACUGCUCAGGGCAUCCUUGAUAUUAAAGGAGAACAAAGGCAACGGAAAUGAGGUUGCUGUUUUAAUGACUUUACUGCUAUUUGAUGAUAUUGCCAAUAUUGAAAAAUGGUCAGACAAAUCCAACACAGAUGCAACCCUUGCACCGUUUUCCCUACCACUGUCAGUGAUACGCAGGUACAACAUUCCAUUCCAGGCAGCGACUCAUCACGCUGUCAGCCCGUACUGCUGCGUCCUGCCUCCCUCCUCGGACAUCCUGACCCUGGCACCCGCCUGCCAAGCCCUGCAGGUAGCCUGGAACACUGCAUGGUAUUCUGGGAUAGACAACCUUCUUGACGAGCUGUGUGGCACAUCUACCCAUGUUACUGAAUUUCAUCCCAACUUAAAGCUGUCAGAAGCACAGGUUCUGUCGCUGCAGGCGGUGCACCUUCCCACCGCACUGCAGGACUGCAUCAAGACCAUUGUCACGGCAGCAGGACACAGCUCGGUGACCUCUGCCCUCUCCAGGCUCAGCCUCUAUUUACUGAUUGAGCGACUGGCCCUUCCUCACAUCCCCGCCCACAGCUGCAGAGACACCCUUUGCUCCCUCAGCUGGCAGGCUGCAGUGACAAGGUUUCUCCAGGUGCGUCCAGCCUGUGUUGAGGAUGACAGGUUGCUGGUGGGAAUUGUUGCAUUUUUGAAUGCCUACUUCAAACAGAUGCACAAUGAGACUGCAUCUGACCCAGAGGACAAGGACCUGUGCUGGAUACUGGAGCUACUUCUCAACCAGGAGAGCCCAUCGCUUCUUAAUUUGCUGCUUGGUGUGGAGACUCAGACCUCAACUCCGAACCCCGGGGAGCCGGAGGAAUUGAUGAACCGCUUCAGCCGGAGACUGCAGAAAGAACUCACCAGCUUCUUUAACAUCUUACUCUUUCGACUUGCACAAACCACUGACAGGCUAUGUCUGGCAUUAGCAGGCCCAUUCAAAAGCCAGCUGGCAGUCCGUUUGCUUCAGAGUCUGCGGGUGUCCGACGCCCCGCGUUUCUAUGGCCUUCCUAGCCUGGAGAGGACACUGCAAGGCAUGGUCAGCCUGACUGCCCAGCCUGGCUGGAGCUCCCACUGCUCUGACCUGGAACCCAUCUUGCUCUGCUCCAAGUAUCUCAGUGGCCUAUUAGAGGUGAUCUCCUCAUUUUAUGUCGAGUUGGGAGGCAAUUCCAUGUCUUUCAUGGGAAAAGGUGUGACCAAGAAUGCUGUCGUCUGCUUGCUUCACCUGUCCCAUGAGAUGAUGGUCAAGAACAAGGACAAGGACUUCAUAUCCCAGUGGUCUUUGGGAAAUGAGGCAGCUGCUGAGGAGGCUAGUGGCUCUCAGCUUGGUUUGGCCUGGCUCAUCCCACUAUGGGUCGACCGCGACCAAGAGGUCAGAUUUGCCAGUUUGGGUUUAGGUGCAGCUCUGUCCUCGGUGCCCAGCGGGUGCCAAGCUCUGUGUGCAAGCUGUCAGAACAUCAGCGGAGGUCUGUGGGGCACGUUGCUCAACAUCCUCCUGGAUCAGCAGGAGAGCAGCAUGGUCCGCAGAGAGGCUGCAUUCAUCCUGCAAAACCUGCUGGUGAUGCCCAUGCCUGCCAACGUAGAGGAGGCCAAGGACUCCCACUGGCAGCACCCAUGUGUCCAUGAUGAGGUGUCUGGUGUGUCUCUGGUGGGUCUUCCAGCGCUCCAGGCUCUGCUUUACCACUGUCAGUAUUUCCAACAUGUGGCUCUCUCUGCCACCAAGUGUUACCGAGGCAGGUACACUUUCCACCCGCAACCUGGUGCUGCCGCGACCAGUGGACCUCGUCCCCAUGAGAGCAAUUCUCUUGAUUCUGAGAAUUCGCUGUGGUUUUGGAGAUGCGACCCACCAGCGCCUACUGUAGACUCUAGCAGACCUUCCAGCUCCCUCUCCACAUCAAGCACUGUGAUUAGAGGCUCAGGGCCUAACACCCCCAAAGAUCCCUCCCCGUUGAGCAUCACAGAAGAUACCCCUGCCAGCAGACUGAUGGCUCAAGGCCAGAGUGAUACAGACACCAUCGACUCACUGGCCUCCCAAGACUCCCGCCAGGGCGAGCCCUCAGCCGUGGAUCCCGUUGUCAUGGUAACUCCCGACCUCAUGACGGCCCACUGUGGCCUGCUGACUAACCUGCUGGCCAUCCUGCCAGACUUCACCCUCACUGCCGUCCGACACAACCAGCUCCUCCAAGCACUGGCCAGUCUGGUGGAUAUUGGGCCCAUCGAGACAUGUCUGAUUGAGUUGAAGACACCCAAUGUCCUACCAGGAGAGAGAGGAGACAUCAAGAUCCAGUUUGUCACCCUACUUCAGUUCCUGUCCAGCUUCUCCAAACUGCUGCUGUCAUGUGUCACGGUGAGCCAAGAGCUUAUUGGCCAGAUGGACUUCCUGAAACAGCUGUUGACUGCUCUGGUGGCAGUGCUCACACUGGAUACCAAAGGAUUAGAUGCAGGUACCCGAGAUACGGUUUGUGUGUGCUGGGCAGACGUGUUUAUGCUCCUGGCUACUCUGGUGAGGAGGGACAGCUCGGCAGCGUACCCAUCUGUUUCUGCUGCACUGGGGAGACGCUGGCGGAUAUUUGCAGGAACAUUAUCCGUGUGUGUGAAUGAGAAGCUUGCAGACCCUCAUCUCCACACAGUGGCUCUGCAGUUUCUCCGUACAGUUUUCACAGAGCAGACAAAGAGUGUAGAUGUCACAACCUCAAACCCUAAACAGGCUACUGCUUUGUCUGACAUUGUGAAUGGUCCCUCAGCCAGCCAGCUGUGUGAACUGUUACUGCAGAGUUUUGAAAAGCGGUCCCUUCAGGACCCAUUGAAGAAGCAGACAGCCAGAGCUCUGAUGACACUACUGGCCUGCAGUCCCACAGCUCAAAACUACGCAGCCAAAGCUGGUCUAAUUGACAGCUGUGUGGAGCAAAUGAAGCAAACUCACUCCCAGCUCCACCUGGAGUCCGUCCGACCCGGCAAGGCUUCCCACCGCAAAAAGGGAGAAGGGUAUUUAAAGGAAAUAAAGCUGACUGUGGAGAUCCUGCGGAGUGCUCUUUACCACAACGAUGAAUGCAAAGUGAUUGCCACAGAUGCUCGCCUAACACUGGCACUCUAUGCUCUUUGGCCUUGGCUCCUAUUGGAUGACCCCAUCAUGGAGGCGGUGCUGGAGCUUCUAUGUGUCUAUACGGCCAACUGCACCACAGCAUGCAGUUGUGUUUGUGGCGGUGGCCCCGGUGUUGCACUAGGAUCCAAAGGCCCCCCUAGUAACUCUUUGAUGCACUCUGUGAUGAAGCUGGCCUCAGGGGUUGCAGCAGAUAACAGCCCUGUCCAGAAGCUAGCCUUCUGUCUCUUGGCUAACCUCGCCAUGUCCCGCGACUGCAGAGGCCUCUUGCAAAAGAAUAAUUUCCUGCAAGCCUUCCUGUCAGUGCCAACGCCCAAGGCAGUUGGUGUUAAGACCACAUUCAUAGGUUGUGGUGGCGGAAGCCUACUGGGCCUGUGGCUGAGGCUGCUGGUUAGUCUCUCGUUCGCGGAGGACGGCCAACAGAGUAUCCUUAGAGUGACUGGAGCCCUGGAACUGCUGGCGGACUUGGCACCACACCGGCGCCACGCACUGCUCACCCUUCACAACCUGUGCUUCUGCCCUGCCAACAAGCCUCACGUCGUUGCCAAUGACAAAGCCAUGAAGGUGUUACUAAGUUGUCUGACCAGUAAAGAGAUUGAAACCCGCUCUAUGGGAGCAUCUGCAUUAUGGGCAUUGCUCCAUAACAAUCAGAGGGUACACACACACACAAACACACACACACACACACUAAACCUUUAUUGUAGUGACGCUGAAUUUCACUAUUACAGUACUACAGUAUUGGAGUUUAUUAGUGAUAUAUGUCAAAUUAAAUCCAUGUGGUGUCUUCACUCUGACUGUCCCUAUAAAUAAAUCGUCUGGAAAGCUUCAAUGUCCUAUCACAUACAAAAGAUAUGACAAACCUUUUUUAUCUCCUGAUAAUGAACCAAAAAAAAGAACUCAUCUCAACUCUUCCUAAUCUGUCUUUCUAAUUUCCCCUCAAAGGCUAAGACUACUUUGAAGUGUCCCUCUGUUCGAUUGAGAAUUGAGGAGGCACGUACCAUCUCUAAGAAGGAUGCAGAGAACAAGCAGGAUCCAAUGACUGCCUACCUGUUGCAGUGCCUUGAAAACCUUUCCCAGCUGCUAAAUAACUGAUUGUAUU